Long non-coding RNA from Solea solea (common sole), 2312 nucleotides. RefSeq lists it as uncharacterized. NCBI's taxonomy places the organism in Eukaryota, Metazoa, Chordata, Actinopteri, Pleuronectiformes, Soleidae. The transcript has 3 exons. The record is from RefSeq and is a predicted model, not a curated record.
AGAUGUUACAACAGCAAUGGCUGUUGAAAGGCUGCAGGGAGAGAAAAUUAGAUCUGAGGACAGGAAAGUGGAAUUGAUUUCAUGCUUAGCAAAAUGAGGGUUUCAGCAGAGGACCUUUUUGUGGCAAGGCUACGGAAUCAGAAGGAAUGUUUGUCUGAGCAACUGGGAGGUUUAUAGUUUUUCAUGCAGCCAACCAAGACAUUGGGGUUAGCGUCAUCCCAAAUGGCUGGCAAAGAUUGCUUGUAACUGUCAGUGUAGGACAGGAAAGGCAGGUAUAGGUUAGGGAGGGCAUCCAUCGGUGAGCUCUGACUGGAUGUGAGGACCUGUCACACUUGACCAGAGAUGAAGGCUGCAGCACAUUCCUGGAUCAGAGGACUCCAUGUUGGACACCACGACCUGGAGAAGUCCCAUCCUGGAUGGCUGCGGUGAUGACCUAGCCCAAGAUGAACUGACCCUUCUACGACGAGGACUUCGCCCAAGAUGAACCGACCCUUCUAUGAGGACUUCGCACAAGAUGAACUGACCUUUUCCACGGGAUGCUUCAGAUGCUGGACCUUGACAAACUGUACACAUGCCUCAAUGGCUGCUACAUCACUCUGCCCAUCAGGACAUGGUCACCGAGAAAAAAUUAAAUGAACUUUAACCCACCUCCGUCCCCACUGACCCACAACCACACAUGACAAAACACUGUACAUGUGAUGCAUCACCACACUAAAAUACAGACACUGCUACUUUCAGCCUGUUUCAGCCAACAGCAUCAAUGUUUGAGUUAUUUAAUUGCUUAAUUUUUAAAUCAGUCAAGGUUUUAUGAGCUGGGUCUUCUUCACACAACAGAGAACAAGGUAAAUUGAGUCGACUCGUAACAUGGUAAGGCAUUUCGUCCUUCUCCUUCUUCUCUGUGUGUGAGGAAAUCUGGCCACGGAUCCUGACUGAGUGGCAUACCAUGGCUGUGCAGUUUCCAAAAUCAGACAAGGAUCCAUCUGAUUUUGUGACCCGGCCUGUCAUGAUAUGCAUGUAUUUUUCUCCGACAGUAGCAGACACUGCUACUUUCAGCCGGUAAUGUUAGACAUUGAAAACUUGUAUUUAUUGCCUUCUUUAUAUCAAGUAAAACUUUUGUUCUUAACUUUAUGGUUUACUUGUAUUUUUUCAGUGAUGAGUGUUAUUUUGACAAGUUAGUGCUUUGAACGUAAAGAUGUGGAAUUCUUUUAAAACAAAUUGCACUGAUCUGUUACUGUAGACUUGGCACCUUUUGACACUGCUCCAAGUGUUCGGUUGAUCUUAACCAGAAAACUCAAACCCUAUAUGGAUUUGUACAAGAUUUUAAAGGGAAUAUAAUAAAUUGGACUCUAAAGCAGGGAAUGCUACAGUCGAUGGUGAUGCUGCUACUUGCCCCCAUCUCACAACUUCCUUAUUUUUAGCCACUAACACUAAAUAUUUCUAAUGCAUAUAAAUAUGCCACUGAACAUUAGACUACUUGGCUUUAAAAUGCCUUCUUUUAACUAGAGAUGUAUUUUUACUAUUUUAUUUCAUCUGGCUUUUCAUUUUAUCUUUUAAUUCUGUCUUUACCAUUUUACGCUUAAAGCUUUUAUUUUUCUACUAUGGACCACUUAUAGAUGUAAUUUUUCAUCAGGUCUGAUGCGGUUGCAAAAAUUGGUGAGUUUUGGGGUAUGUUCAGGGCCUCAAACGCGAUUCAUUUGGCGGGCGGAAGAAUCAGAAGAAUAAGAAUAACCCUUACAGUUUCAAUAGGGUUCUAUGCACCUUGUGCUCAAACUCUAAUAAUAAACUAUUAAUACAAUCAGGUAAUUGUACGUUUAUGAAAAAUCUUUAAUUUCUGCCAAAUAAAAAUAAAUAUUACUCAGUGGACAUUUAAGAUUAUGUAAUAUCAAUCAUUUUUUCAAAUUAGAUUAUUAUGGAAAGUGAUAGUUAAAUAGAUCGAUUGGUAAAAGAAAACUGGGAACUAUUAUGUAAUCAUGUUGACAAUGGAUUUCUUUAAAACAUUUUCGUGCUGAGCCUUUCUAAUCUAAAAAAAGAAAAAAGACUGAUCUCUCUUCAUGCUUGUGAAUAAAGUAAAUGCAGCCACAUUUAUAAAAAUGAGCAUCACCAUGUAUUUGUAUUCUUUAGAUAGAGGCAACAUUUACAAUGACAGCAUUUACAUCUCGUCACAUGUUUGAAAAGGAGUAUGCAGAAGUAUAAACUUACAUGUAUCUAUACCCCAUUCCUAUUUAUGCACUACUUUAUCCCAUCACCAAAUAUUGACGUAUUUUACAUUCUCAAUGUUCAACACAAUGUAGUUUCCCUCUUAAAUUGUAUCC